CCUACGUGUGGCAGCAGUGGGGAAUAUUGGGCAAUGGACGCAAGUCUGACCCAGCAACGCCGCGUGAAGGAAGAAGGCUUUCGGGUUGUAAACUUCUUUUAAGGGGGAAGAGCAGAAGACGGUACCCCUUGAAUAAGCCACGGCUAACUACGUGCCAGCAGCCGCGGUAAUACGUAGGAUGCGAGCGUUAUCCGGAUUUAUUGGGUUUAAAGGGUGCGUAGGCGGUCUGUUAAGUCAGCGGUAAAAUUGCGGGGCUCAACCCCGUCGAGCCGUUGAAACUGGCAGACUUGAGUUGGCGAGAAGUACGCGGAAUGCGCGGUGUAGCGGUGAAAUGCAUAGAUAUCGCGCAGAACUCCGAUUGCGAAGGCAGUGUACCGGCGCCAGACUGACGCUGAGGCACGAAAGCGUGGGGAUCGAACAGGAUUAGAUACCCUUGUAGUC
This 441-nucleotide ribosomal RNA is filed under the name uncultured bacterium. RNAcentral describes it as "partial 16S ribosomal RNA". It matches the Rfam family "Bacterial small subunit ribosomal RNA", at positions 338 to 795 of the family's 1533-position model. The record is from RNAcentral.